This 1298-nucleotide long non-coding RNA is filed under the name Chloebia gouldiae (Gouldian finch). RNAcentral's name for it is "Erythrura gouldiae (Gouldian finch) lncRNA (ENSEGOG00005016894.1)". Lineage: Eukaryota; Metazoa; Chordata; Aves; Passeriformes; Passeridae. The record is from RNAcentral.
GAUUAACUCCGCGGGGAGCAGCGGCGGAGGCUGAGCCGGCGCUCCCGCCACGCAUCGCCUGCUUCCCAGCACGCUCAGGAGUUUUGGAGCCAACCUCCCGGCAGCUAAUCCUCCUCGCUGCCGGAGCCGGGGGCGCCGGGAAGAGCCGGCAGGGCGGCAGGUGAAGGGAAGAGAACGGGGAGGAGUGCCCACACACACACGCGUGCACCCCGCACACGGCAUCGGGCAGCGGCGGCGGAUCGGCGGAUGCGUGCGGGGAGCUCCGCCGGGAGCCCAGCCCGGAAUGAAACAAGCUGGAGCAUCAGGAGAGAGGAGCUGUUCGCUUGGAAAAGUCUUUAAGGAAUCGAUCGGGAGAUGCCGGUAAGAGAAGUUGCUGAAAGCCAAGCUGGAAUGGCCAGGAGCUGCGCGCCGCCGGCCCCGUCUCACACCGGGGCAGCUGAACUUUGUGGGGUCUGAACAUUUUUCUCCCCUGCGAACGCUCUGGGCAGCGCUGACGGGAGAGCCAGGACAGCACCGCGCACCUUGAGCCUGACAGAGCCUGGGGUAGUGCCAAGGGGGGAUUUCUGUCUCAACAAGGACCAUCGCCUCUGAAAAAAAAAAAAAAAAAGCUGGAGAAGGGCAAUUAAUCUUUCUUUUCCAGAUGACUGAAAAUAUCUACAGGAUCCUGUCUCUCCGGUUUUCAUUGGUGAGUAGCAUAAGAGACAGGCAACUGAGGAACAGAAAUGAUAUCGGUCAAAAUCAUUCCAGCACCUACUUUUUCCUAAGGAACUUCAUGCCCAUAGGGGUUUUCUGUGGGCACUUCCAGGAGUGAGACCAAGGUACCACAGAUGUGUCCCUACCGGAUCAUGUAAGAAUUUGCAAAUGAGAAACGUACCCUAUCCAGACCUUCUCUGCCCGCUUUGCAGUACAUGGUUUGGUGUAAGCACAGCAAUUCUCACCUCUUUCUUUCCCUUUUAAGUCUCUUGAGCUUGGAGACCUCUUUCCUCAUUGCAAUUAUGAUUAUUUGCAACAUCAGUGCCAUCAAAGAUUGGAGCACUUUCCUUUCCCAAAUCCUCCCCAGCGUUAACAAGACUCUGAACUUGGUACAGCAAGUGGAAGCCACCACCAGCUCGGUGUACUCAUACUCGGACAAUGACCAGCUCUACAAGGAGUACAAACCCCCUCCUCGAGACGCCAUUCCUCUGCCCAAGGCUGUCCUCUACCUCCUCAUGGCAGCCCUGGUGGUGGUGGCAGUGGCGUACGCCAUCGUCGGGCAUCUCAUCAAGGACCUCAUUUACGACUUUGUAGAUGCUUCUUAA